Molecule: long non-coding RNA, 423 nt
Organism: Lathyrus oleraceus (garden pea)
Lineage: Eukaryota; Viridiplantae; Streptophyta; Magnoliopsida; Fabales; Fabaceae
Exons: 2
Source: RefSeq, a predicted model, not a curated record
GACCAUGUAAGUCUUAAAUCUACAAGAGAAAUAACAUAAGGUAAAAUUUUGAACAAUAAUGGCUUUCAUUUAUAUCAACCAAUCUUAUCUUUGUUGGAUUUUGAUCAUUUCUAUGAUUUUGUUUUCAGGAUUAUCAAGUGGUGAGUAUAGUCCUUUGUAUUUAAAAUGUCAAGAGGGUGAUUGCACGUCAGAUUUACAAUGCUAUCAAGAGUGUUAUGGAAAAGGCUAUAGAUAUGGUGGUGCCUGCUAUAUAAUUUAUCCUAAGUCAGUGCGUUGUUGUUGUCGUAAAUGAUGAGUCAAUUUAUGAAUCGAUAAAAGCUAAAUAAAAAAGGCUGUAUCUUUUGUAUGUUCAGAAUUAAAGUAUGUAAGAAUAUAUAUAUUGUGAAAAAUAAAAGGUAUCUUUCAACUUGAUUAAUAUAUAAA